RNAcentral lists this ribosomal RNA (767 nucleotides) under uncultured bacterium. Its description in RNAcentral is "bacterial SSU rRNA". It matches the Rfam family "Bacterial small subunit ribosomal RNA", at positions 43 to 804 of the family's 1533-position model. The record is from RNAcentral.
UGAUGUUAGGUGCUUGCACUUGAAAAAUUUAGCAUUGAGACGAGUGGGGAACUGGUGAGUAACACGUGGGUAACCUGCCCUUGAAGUAGGGGAUAACACUUGGAAACAGGUGCUAAUACCGUAUAACAACCAAAACCACCUGGUUUUGGUUUAAAAGACGGCUUCGGCUGUCACUUUAGGAUGGACCCGCGGCGCAUUAGCUUGUUGGUAAGGUAACGGCUUACCAAGGCGAUGAUACGUAGCCGACCUGAGAGGGUAAUCGGCCACAUUGGGACUGAGACACGGCCCAAACUCCUACGGGAGGCAGCAGUAGGGAAUCUUCCACAAUGGACGAAAGUCUGAUGGAGCAACGCCGCGUGAGUGAUGAAGGGUUUCGGCUCGUAAAACUCUGUUGUUGGAGAAGAACAGGUGUCAGAGUAACUGUUGACAUCUUGACGGUAUCCAACCAGAAAGCCACGGCUAACUACGUGCCAGCAGCCGCGGUAAUACGUAGGUGGCAAGCGUUGUCCGGAUUUAUUGGGCGUAAAGCGAGCGCAGGCGGUUUUUUAGGUCUGAUGUGAAAGCCUUCGGCUUAACCGGAGAAGUGCAUCGGAAACCGGGAGACUUGAGUGCAGAAGAGGACAGUGGAACUCCAUGUGUAGCGGUGAAAUGCGUAGAUAUAUGGAAGAACACCAGUGGCGAAGGCGGCUGUCUGGUCUGUAACUGACGCUGAGGCUCGAAAGCAUGGGUAGCGAACAGGAUUAGAUACCCUGGUAGUCCAUGCCGUA